This 975-nucleotide ribosomal RNA is filed under the name Plectus aquatilis. Its description in RNAcentral is "LSU rRNA". It matches the Rfam family "Eukaryotic large subunit ribosomal RNA", at positions 107 to 902 of the family's 3401-position model. Lineage: Eukaryota; Metazoa; Nematoda; Chromadorea; Plectida; Plectidae. The record is from RNAcentral.
GCCCAGCGCUGAAUCCGUCGACCUCUGGCCGCUCGGACCUGUAGCGUAUAGGCGCGUUCGUCCGUCGCUAGCGAUCACCCUAAGUUCUCUUGACUGAGACUAUUGUCCAUAGAAGGUGCCAGGCCUGUGAGGGUGACGUCGGCGGCGGUAGGUCGCGCCUUGGAGUCGGAUUGCCUGAGAUCGCAGUCCAAAGAGGGUGGUAAACCUCAUCUAAGGCUAAAUACGGCCACGAGACCGAUAGCAAACAAGUACCGUGAGGGAAAGUUGCAAAGAACUUUGAAGAGAGAGUUCAAGAGGGCGUGAAACCGCUUAGAAGGAAGCGGAUAGAGCCGACGAAACUCGGCGGCAUUCAUCCGGUCGCCAUCGGYGCUURGGGCGGCGYGAUCUUCGGACGCGCCGYUUYRAGAAGGCUAGUGGCGACUGGUGCAUUUGCCGUCGGUAUGCGCCGAGAGCGUCGCCGUCGUUUUCCGACCGGCUGGGUAGUGGCCCUUGGCUUCGGCYUCGGUGUCCUCCCCGACYGUUAGGUUAAUCUUCGGUGACGUUCCCCGUGUCAGACGUUCCGCCAAUGGAACGGCAUGCGUGUYGGGUCGGUGUCGUCGAGGGCGGUCGCGUGCGACCAGUCUUCGGCGGCGCUUAUUCGAUGCGUCUCGCCGCGUCCGGACGUCGUCUCGGUGUGAAAGUCGGCCACCUAUCCGACCCGUCUUGAAACACGGACCAAGGAGUCUAACAUGUGCGCGAGUCAUUGGGUGUCAAACCUAAAGGCGUAAUGAAAGUGAAGACCGGCUCGACUGGUUGAUAUGGGAUCCGUUCGGUUUCGGCCGAGCGGCGCACCAUAGCCCCGUCUCGACUGCUUGCAGUGGGGCGGAGGCAGAGCGUACACGUUGGGACCCGAAAGAUGGUGAACUAUGCCUGAGCAGGACGAAGCCAGAGGAAACUCUGGUGGAGGUCCGAAGCGGUUCUGACGUGCAAAUCGAU